Molecule: ribosomal RNA, 497 nt
Filed under: uncultured Bacillus sp.
Lineage: Bacteria; Bacillati; Bacillota; Bacilli; Caryophanales; Bacillaceae
Description: bacterial SSU rRNA
Rfam family: Bacterial small subunit ribosomal RNA
Source: RNAcentral
CGCGUGAGUGAUGAAGGCUUUCGGGUCGUAAAACUCUGUUGUUAGGGAAGAACAAGUGCUAGUUGAAUAAGCUGGCACCUUGACGGUACCUAACCAGAAAGCCACGGCUAACUACGUGCCAGCAGCCGCGGUAAUACGUAGGUGGCAAGCGUUAUCCGGAAUUAUUGGGCGUAAAGCGCGCGCAGGUGGUUUCUUAAGUCUGAUGUGAAAGCCCACGGCUCAACCGUGGAGGGUCAUUGGAAACUGGGAGACUUGAGUGCAGAAAAGGAAAGUGGAAUUCCAUGUGUAGCGGUGAAAUGCGUAGAGAUAUGGAGGAACACCAGUGGCGAAGGCGACUUUCUGGUCUGUAACUGACACUGAGGCGCGAAAGCGUGGGGAGCAAACAGGAUUAGAUACCCUGGUAGUCCACGCCGUAAACGAUGAGUGCUAAGUGUUAGAGGGUUUCCGCCCUUUAGUGCUGAAGUUAACGCAUUAAGCACUCCGCCUGGGGAGUACGG